UUUCGAUUUUUUAAAAUUGUUUCAACUAUAUCGAUAUCUUAACCAUAGCUGAUUGCCAAAUGGCGUCGUCUGCUCAGGUUUCAAACGUGGCUGGCGAUGGCUGCACGAAAAAUGUGUCUCAUUAUAGAUUAUUCUCUUAAAAUAGUUAUUAUUUGAUACGUGCUCCAUGUUGUUUACAGCAGGCAAAUAAAAUCAAGAAUGCAUAUAGAAUGAUUGUGGAAUCUUGAAACCCUUUUCUAAAUUCUGAGAAAUCAAAAUCAAGUUCCCGACUAAAAUAGGCCUAGCAUUAAUCACGCCAGAGCCAGCCAUCACAACAAUGAGAUGCAAGAAUUUGUUGUGCUGGUGUUAACCUGGCGGCAGGAAUCUCAUUGUUCGGGUUAACAGCAUCCUCUUGUAUUGGAGAAACUACCAAUGUUGCUUGAGUUGCUGAUAUCUUCUCCCAGUUUCAUAAAAUGUUCUCGUGUACCCCUGUAGUGGGUGUACACAACACAUGAGGACUCCCUUUUUCCUCUAUCCCGCCUGGUGUCUGGUCAAUUUUUCAGCGGAUG
Molecule: long non-coding RNA, 548 nt
Organism: Daphnia pulex (common water flea)
Lineage: Eukaryota; Metazoa; Arthropoda; Branchiopoda; Diplostraca; Daphniidae
Exons: 3
Source: RefSeq, a predicted model, not a curated record